AAUGUUUCACCAUUCUCUGCCUUUUGCUUUAUGGUUUUCUUUUUCUUUUUUAUUUUAUUUUUAGAAUUAAUAAAAGAUAACAGGGUAGUUAUGUUCCAUAAAAAUAUGACCUAUUAUCUUAUUUUGUUUUUAAUUUUAAUUUUUUUAAUAUUAAAAAAUGUGAAUUUACCAUAUUAUCCUCAUUUAAUUAAUAAUUUCAAUUCUUAAUGUUUGAAUUAACAAAGGGCAUUUUCUGGUAUUUUGAAUGUUCCACCAUUCUUUGCCUUUUGCUUUAUAUAUAUAGAUAGAUAGAUAAUCUAAUGUGCCCGUAUUAGAAAAUAAUCUCCAAAAUUAAACUUGAGGAAAAUUUCCAAGCUUUCUUAUUUGGACAAUUACCCUUUUAAAAAAAAAAAAAAAAGAAUGCAUGAUGACCUCUUCUGUUAAUUUUCCUUUUCUGGGAUUUUGCUUAGUGAGAAUUGAUGUGGCAUCUAGAUGUGCGGAUAUGACAAACUAGUUUUUCAUUCUUUGAAUAUAAUAACAUACGUACUGAAAAUAAAUUUGAAGUGACUUUUUCGUUCUCUUCUUUAACAAGCAAUAAUCUCAUGCAAUCAGGCAAGUAGCUAGAGAUCUCAUGCAAUCAGGCAAGCAGGUUGAGAAAUCUAGUAACCACGCAGAUGAAAUGAUUGACCCGAAAUUCGAAACGAGUAACCUAACCAGAUGUCAAUCUAAUUUCCUUAGGUUCCUCCUAAGGAUGGCCAUGCUUUAACUGAUGGCUGGAAACGGAUUGCGCGAAGGAGAAUUUCCAGGCCGGGAUUGUGCAUCUCUGGGCUUACAUAGACGAGAAGGAUGACAUCGGAUUUACUAUGCAUUACAAGUAUAAGAAAUUUGGGAUCCUUAGGUUCCUCCUAAGUUGUUCUUCCUAAGUUUUUCGUGUCAUUAGGGUUUUAUAGUUUCCU
This 935-nucleotide long non-coding RNA is filed under the name Prunus persica (peach). RNAcentral describes it as "long non-coding RNA (PPER_LNC007346)". Lineage: Eukaryota; Viridiplantae; Streptophyta; Magnoliopsida; Rosales; Rosaceae. The record is from RNAcentral.